RNAcentral lists this long non-coding RNA (583 nucleotides) under Homo sapiens (human). RNAcentral describes it as "non-protein coding lnc-TP53TG3-73:1". Lineage: Eukaryota; Metazoa; Chordata; Mammalia; Primates; Hominidae. The record is from RNAcentral.
CUUCCUCUUGGCUCCCAGGAGGAGGGAUUCCCUGACUUUGACACACAUGGCCACCUUGGCACAAAAGCCUUGUGGUAUAGAAAAACAAAUUUGUUUUUAUGUCCUCUUCUCCCUUUCCAUCUUUCAGCAUAGACUUAACUCCCUUAAGCCCAGACAUCUGUUGGGACCUGACCCCUAGUCAUUGGUUACCAGUGUGUCAGGCAAUCUGGACUUUCCAGUGAUGCCACUGAGAUGGCACCUGUCAAAAGAGUAGUGGUUCCAUUUCUAGAUUGUAGAUCUUCAGAUAAAUUCUGCCAUUUUCAUUUCACUUCCUGAAAGUCAGGGUCGGCUUCUAAAAAUUUGUUAAACAAUAUGCUAAAUGUGAAAUGUCACCCCUCACUCUAAACUUUCCCCGUUCAGAGCAUCAGAUGAAGACUUCAUUGGGUUUUAUAGUGGCUUUCUGAUUUUUGGUAGUCCAUUGAAGAAGGGAGUUUGAAAGUUGUUGUAUACUGUUAACGAUUAUCUGCCCAUGUCCUGCCUGAAAUACCGUGAUUGUUUAUGGAAAGUAUCUUUAAUAAAGCUGGAUAUAGUUUGGCUUGGAAAA